GUCCACGCCGUAAACGUUGUACACUAGGUGUCGGGGGUUUCAACGCCCUCGGUGCCGCCGCUAACGCAUUAAGUGUACCGCCUGGGGAGUACACCCGCAAGGGUGAAACUCAAAGGAAUUGACGGGGGCCCGCACAAGCGGUGGAGCAUGUGGUUUAAUUCGACGAUACGCGAAGAACCUUACCUGGGCUUGACAUCUAGUAGACGGGCAUGGAGACAUGCCUUCCUUUAUGGCUGCUAGACA
This 243-nucleotide ribosomal RNA is filed under the name uncultured bacterium. Its description in RNAcentral is "partial 16S ribosomal RNA". It matches the Rfam family "Bacterial small subunit ribosomal RNA", at positions 793 to 1036 of the family's 1533-position model. The record is from RNAcentral.